RNAcentral lists this ribosomal RNA (678 nucleotides) under Listeria monocytogenes. RNAcentral's name for it is "bacterial SSU rRNA". It matches the Rfam family "Bacterial small subunit ribosomal RNA", at positions 862 to 1533 of the family's 1533-position model. The record is from RNAcentral. Lineage: Bacteria; Bacillati; Bacillota; Bacilli; Caryophanales; Listeriaceae.
AAGCACUCCGCCUGGGGAGUACGACCGCAAGGUUGAAACUCAAAGGAAUUGACGGGGGCCCGCACAAGCGGUGGAGCAUGUGGUUUAAUUCGAAGCAACGCGAAGAACCUUACCAGGUCUUGACAUCCUUUGACCACUCUGGAGACAGAGCUUUCCCUUCGGGGACAAAGUGACAGGUGGUGCAUGGUUGUCGUCAGCUCGUGUCGUGAGAUGUUGGGUUAAGUCCCGCAACGAGCGCAACCCUUGAUUUUAGUUGCCAGCAUUUAGUUGGGCACUCUAAAGUGACUGCCGGUGCAAGCCGGAGGAAGGUGGGGAUGACGUCAAAUCAUCAUGCCCCUUAUGACCUGGGCUACACACGUGCUACAAUGGAUAGUACAAAGGGUCGCGAAGCCGCGAGGUGGAGCUAAUCCCAUAAAACUAUUCUCAGUUCGGAUUGUAGGCUGCAACUCGCCUACAUGAAGCCGGAAUCGCUAGUAAUCGUGGAUCAGCAUGCCACGGUGAAUACGUUCCCGGGCCUUGUACACACCGCCCGUCACACCACGAGAGUUUGUAACACCCGAAGUCGGUAGGGUAACCUUUAUGGAGCCAGCCGCCGAAGGUGGGACAGAUAAUUGGGGUGAAGUCGUAACAAGGUAGCCGUAUCGGAAGGUGCGGCUGGAUCACCUCCUUUCUAAGGAA